UAGAAAAAAGAUGCACUAUACUUUGCAUCUUUUUUUUAUGUCUGAAUCUUGUUUGUCUAGCUGCCGUAUCUGAUCGCCACCACCAGGGGGAGCUACCCACUUCUCAUGCUAUUUCCCGACAUAAAUAGCAGAGUAUUUGAGUGAACUGACCUUUAGCCACCAUGUAGCCAACAUGUCGUAUGUAUACCACUAUUGCCUGUUGAUGCAAAUCCAACACAAUCAUAAUUUUUCCUAAAUUUCACACUAAAACAGAUAGCAGUUAAGUUACAAGGGAUAAAAGGGCUUUAAGUUUGUCACUGAAAAAGUUAAAAUAUACGUCCUUCAUAAAGACGAAGUGGAGUCUGAUGACAGUUUCUAUUUCUGCCGGGUUGAUUCUGGGUCUACAUGGCCAAAUGUUUGUUUUCCCAAAGUGUCCUGAAGUAAGCUCCAGUCUGGAGUUUACUAUAAUAAUAAAUAAAUAAUAAUGUACUAAUGUGAUGAGUAAAUAAUUAUCAUCUGUUGGUCAAAUAAAGUAAAUGUACUGGUUUCACUUAUUUUGAAUGACUUGAGCAACCAGAUAUCUUUGAUUUUCCGCUGAUAUAAAACGUGGAACGUGUCUGGUUUUUCUGGCCCAAAAGUCGAAGCGGAGCCGAGAUAAACUGCAGCAAGCUGUGCUGGCCCGGUUCUGUUUUCCUGUGAGGCCAUUGGAGAGUCAGAGCGUAAACAGAGCCGGUCCGUUAAAUCCAGGGAUUAUUAGCUCCGAGGCUACAUGUUUCUCACUCCUAAACUUCACAGAUCAGACUGCAGAUAUUGAUCCUCAGGAACCGUUUGGAAAUCAGACCGCAGACGAACGCUUCUCCUUUUUACUUCAAAAACAACUUUUUAUGUUUUACAAAGAACAAACAGUGGCGAAAUAAAUCAGAUUAUCUUUUUCUGAAUGUGACAGUGUGAACCCGUCUGUUUAACUCGCAUCCCCUUCUCAGGGCACUACAGCGAUCUGCGCCUGUAAUCUAAUUAAAACAAUGAUGAGAUGUCAGAGAGAAACCAUUGGAGAGGCCAGAGGGUCAUGGAACGUGAUGCAACACAGCGCUGCCCCUCCCCAACGUACUGCUGCGAAACUGCUAGUCAGCUAUCAAAGGAAUAAAGGAGCCUAAAAGCAGCAGAUAUUCCUACGGCUGACAGUCCUUGUCAAAUACCAGCUGAACAUAAGCAGUCGUGGCACCGAGCUGCUGAAAGCUGGUUCAACUGUCUGCAGUUGGUUUCUCUGUUGCGUCCACAAGGCGGUCAUGCAGCGCUGCGGGGCCCGCACCGCUCCACAAACACAAACUCAUCCCGCUUUGUUUGCUGCUCUUCCUGCUUCCCAUCUGCAUAAACAACACCGGAUGGCUUCCAUCCAGCGGACGAAGAGAUGCAGCGAAUCCCUCUGUCCACUCAGCUUCAUUUUUAUCCAAAGCUCAUCAUGCUUCCCACCUUGAACCCCAUCUUGCCCUUCUUGCAGCAGAGGCACGCCAGCAUGAGGAA
Molecule: long non-coding RNA, 1500 nt
Organism: Poecilia latipinna (sailfin molly)
Lineage: Eukaryota; Metazoa; Chordata; Actinopteri; Cyprinodontiformes; Poeciliidae
Exons: 4
Source: RefSeq, a predicted model, not a curated record